Molecule: long non-coding RNA, 204 nt
Filed under: Manihot esculenta (cassava)
Lineage: Eukaryota; Viridiplantae; Streptophyta; Magnoliopsida; Malpighiales; Euphorbiaceae
Description: long non-coding RNA (MESC_LNC010037)
Source: RNAcentral
CAUUAUCUCUUUACAUGUACAUGUCCACACUAGCUAUUACAUAACUCUUCUUCUUGCAAACCCUGCUGGACUCCCUCUGAACUCUGAACCUGCAAACCUGGGGGAUAGGGGAGAGGGAUGAGCUAUACAAGCCCAAUGAGCAGAACUAGAAACCAUAAGUUGAAAACAUGAUCUCAUGGAAUGCACUACAGCACAUCAUCUCAG